UACGGAAGGCAGCAGUGGGGAAUAUUGCACAAUGGGCGCAAGCCUGAUGCAGCCAUGCCGCGUGUAUGAAGAAGGCCUUCGGGUUGUAAAGUACUUUCAGCGGGGAGGAAGGCGGUGGAGUUAAUAGCUUCACCGAUUGACGUUACCCGCAGAAGAAGCACCGGCUAACUCCGUGCCAGCAGCCGCGGUAAUACGGAGGGUGCAAGCGUUAAUCGGAAUUACUGGGCGUAAAGCGCACGCAGGCGGUCUGUCAAGUCGGAUGUGAAAUCCCCGGGCUUAACCUGGGAACUGCAUUCGAAACUGGCAGGCUAGAGUCUUGUAGAGGGGGUAGAAUUCCAGGUGUAGCGGUGAAAUGCGUAGAGAUCUGGAGGAAUACCGGUGGCGAAGGCGGCCCCUGGACAAAGCUGACGCUCAGGUGCGAAAGCGUGGGGAGCAAACGAGGAUUAGGAUACC
This 453-nucleotide ribosomal RNA is filed under the name uncultured bacterium. RNAcentral describes it as "bacterial SSU rRNA". It matches the Rfam family "Bacterial small subunit ribosomal RNA", at positions 340 to 786 of the family's 1533-position model. The record is from RNAcentral.